RNAcentral lists this ribosomal RNA (504 nucleotides) under uncultured bacterium. RNAcentral describes it as "bacterial SSU rRNA". It matches the Rfam family "Bacterial small subunit ribosomal RNA", at positions 10 to 507 of the family's 1533-position model. The record is from RNAcentral.
AGUUUGAUCAUGGCUCAGAUUGAACGCUGGCGGCAUGCUUUACACAUGCAAGUCGAGCGGCAGCGCGGGGGGCAACCCUGGCGGCGAGCGGCGAACGGGUGAGUAAUGCAUCGGAACGUACCCUGGAGUGGGGGGAUAACGCCGCGAAAGCGGCGCUAAUACCGCAUAUGCUCUGAGGAGGAAAGUGGGGGACCGCAAGGCCUCACGCUCUGGGAGCGGCCGAUGUCCGAUUAGCUAGUUGGUGGGGUAAAGGCUUACCAAGGCGACGAUCGGUAGCUGGUCUGAGAGGAUGAUCAGCCACACUGGGACUGAGACACGGCCCAGACUCCUACGGGAGGCAGCAGUGGGGAAUUUUGGACAAUGGGGGCAACCCUGAUCCAGCCAUGCCGCGUGAGUGAAGAAGGCCUUCGGGUUGUAAAGCUCGUUCGGUGGGGAAGAAAUUGCAUGGGCUAAUACCCUGUGUAGAUGACGGUACCUGGAGAAGAAGCACCGGCUAACUACGUG